UGUAUGUGUCAGAGAUCUAAUUCAGAUGCUCUUUACAAACUGAAGAGUUAAAAACUAGUUUAAAGUUUAAAUAGGAAAAGCAAUGACCUAGAACAGUGGUUCUCAAACUGGGGGCCGGGGCCCCCAGGGGGGCCGCGAGAUGGUGCCAGGGGGGCCCCAGCUUUAUAACAUUUUAUAAAAUAAAUUAAUUUAUCAUAAAUUCUGUGGAAUUAAACCUAAAAAAUAAGGCUACUAACCAACAGCAGUACUUUGUAUCAUUCAAUAUGUUUUGUUUAAUUAAAAGUUGAGUUUUAGAACAGUUUUUUGUCAUAAAUUUUCUUUGGGGGGGGCCGCAAAGGAAUGCGCCGUACACAAAGGGGGCCGCACGCUGAAAAAGUUUGAGAACCACUGACCUAGAAGUUUUACUGUGGAUUUCCAGUUUCAGCAUCCAAGUAGCCUUUAGCCGCCAUUAGCUUACCUGUACAGCCAACCCAAAGGUUGUACCACCUGGCCAGUGCUCCCCACGGUUAUCCACUUUUCUGUUUCUCUUUAGCUUAUCUUAUUGUGCCAGGUCUCCUCCGUGGUUAGGCCCUGGGCAGAAGUGUGUUCUCCAGCAGGGCCCAUGCUAAUUUAUUAGCCCAUAAAAGCCUGAGCAGCCUCCAGUAAGGGCUUUGAUAUAUUCAUCACAAUGUGCUGGCUCGUAAAAAUACUCAACCCCCCGAGAGAUUUCAGCACUUUGUUUACAAGGACCUGUUGCAGGAGGAGGGAAUAAGAGACGGAUGGAAAAGAGAAGAGGAAGGCUGGAGAACAGGUGUUCCUGGAGCAGGAAAUAAACAGAGGCUUGUUGCGACGGCGUUAUCACUCCUCGCCUGCUUGGAGCGGAACCAAGAGCUACAGAGUUGCCCAGUGGCGGGUGAGGGAGGGGUUCCCAUCAGACGGGCUAGAGAUGUUUUCUCAGUGGGAUGGUUUGGCAACGCAGGCGAUCCCCAGUGAGCGAGAAAGAAAAAUGAUGGGCAACAAAGAGAGGAAUGAGAUCUCAUUUGGCCAGAGACUCACACACACCCACCCACAAACACAGAAGAGCGAAGACCCAGUUGGCUUAAGUUUCUGAUCGUGCACUACAGUGUGGGAAAGCUCAUCUUCAUAUGGUUAUCAGUGAAAAAUUAAACGGCACACACUUGCGGUUUUUGUCUGAAAACUUAGAUACAAAUCAACCUACUCGUGUAUAAACAUGCAUGUCUAAGAAUACAUAUACAGUACAUAUAUAUGUCUAGUUGUUAUAACCUUUAAUAGACAAACUUGUGCACUUUACUUAGACUUUUAAAGUUUAUUGAAUGCUGCUUAUAUAGCAAAUAGUGAUACAGUUACUGUUACUAAGCCUUUUCUUACAAGGCUCCAAGAGAGAUUUCCUCGUUGUCGUAUUUGGCUUUGAGCUUUGGGCGUUCGGGCUUGGAGCCCCGCGAAACUGUCUAAGACAAUGAUUUUGAUCAAAAAGUUCUGAUUUGAAUUUAAACAGAUGAACCAGAAAACUCCAGCUAAAGAAGUACUUGGCAUCUUCUGGUGAAACCUAAUGAGAAGAAACUGAACAUGUUACUGAUCCUGUUUUCAGUGUCACAACUGAACCUUUAAUGGCGCUGUAAUCUUGUUAAAUUUUUCCUUUUCUCAUUAUCAUCAUCUCCACUGACUAUUCUGUGGACAUUUUGCCACAAGAGAAAGUUCAGUCAUGGCCCGUGUCCACGAGAGGCCAGGAAAUAUGAUUUUCAGAGGAUUUAAGCAUUUAGAUUGCCAUAUUAAUCAGACUCAUUUGCGAGAUUAGCGAAAUCCCUCAGAGGAACAAAUGACCGACCUCAGCCGAAUCCAAACUCUCUCAUUGUUUUCUCUCCGACAACGGGGAGGAAGCUUGCGACCUCUGCUCCUCUUUCUCCAUCUUUUUCUCUAUCUGUCUCUCUAUCACUGACAUCACAGUGGAAGCCUUUGACUUCCUGUUCCCUGGGCGCCUUCAACUUCUGGAAAUCUUACGCUGAACUUUUGAUGUCUUCCGCAGUUUUGGCAUAACUGAAGGGUGUAGGUGAUUGAGCAACCUCAUCUUUGGUCACAAGAGACACAGACAUCAUGAGGCAUAAGCUGUUUUUGUUGAUAGGAUCAUGGAAAAUGUGAAUACGUACCGUUUCAGAUGGAGCUCUAAUCAGAAGUCCCGGAGUCAUCUCAAGCUUAGCCUGCUGUGCGAUACUAAUUUCAUUGCGAUUUGUUUUGAUUUGUUUGGAUUUUUGUUUUGAGAUUUUAUCCGCGAAAACCGUGACAUGUUCUGUAUAUGUGGGAGGGAAAGAAAGAGAAAGAGCGGGGAAAUCCAUAUGGAUGCUAUUUUUGAUUUUUGGGAAAACAUUUCUGCUUUUUACCUUCAUAUGAAGAACCAGAUUAUAACUGAACAGAUAAGAUCACACAGUAAUCCCAAUCUGGCAAGAGUAGCAAACAAAAGAAAGAGAGACGUAAAGAAAGAAGGAGCAUGCGAGAGAAGCAUGGAAGAAAAUAGAAAACAAGGCUAAAAGGAGAGAGAGAGAGAAAGUUUAAAGAAAAAAUGACACACUGAAAAGAUGUAAUGUUGUAGGUAUGCUUGUCAUCAUGUCAGCUCUUCUAAUGUUAGUAUGGAUAUGAGGACCUCUGGUGGAAUAAAUACGAAAUUUAUCACACCUUUGAUUUGACACAGUGCUGUCCAAACAUGUCUGAGAAAACUACCG
Misgurnus anguillicaudatus (oriental weatherfish) is the source of this 2714-nucleotide long non-coding RNA. RefSeq lists it as uncharacterized. The record is from RefSeq and is a predicted model, not a curated record. NCBI's taxonomy places the organism in Eukaryota, Metazoa, Chordata, Actinopteri, Cypriniformes, Cobitidae.